AUUUUUUCCGGUUCGUAAGCAUGACUGGGUGUUCACACAUUUGUGUGACAUGUGCCUCCUUAAGUCUUGUUAUGCGUCUGUUACAUUGCCCGUCUGAUG
Sorex araneus (European shrew) is the source of this 99-nucleotide small nucleolar RNA. RefSeq annotates it as small nucleolar RNA U13. NCBI's taxonomy places the organism in Eukaryota, Metazoa, Chordata, Mammalia, Eulipotyphla, Soricidae. The transcript has a single exon. The record is from RefSeq and is a predicted model, not a curated record.